GUCUACGGCCAUACCACCCUGAAAGUGCCCAAUCUCGUCUGAUCUCGGAAGCAAAGCAGGUCGGGCCUGGUUAGUACUUGGAUGGGAGACCACCUGGGAAUACCGGGUGCCGUAGGCU
This 118-nucleotide ribosomal RNA is filed under the name Saimiri boliviensis boliviensis (Bolivian squirrel monkey). The record is from RNAcentral. Lineage: Eukaryota; Metazoa; Chordata; Mammalia; Primates; Cebidae.